RNAcentral lists this ribosomal RNA (731 nucleotides) under Lactarius vinosus. RNAcentral's name for it is "eukaryotic LSU rRNA". The stretch from base 280 to 433 matches the Rfam family "5.8S ribosomal RNA". Lineage: Eukaryota; Fungi; Basidiomycota; Agaricomycetes; Russulales; Russulaceae. The record is from RNAcentral.
AGAGGAAGUAAAAGUCGUAACAAGGUUUCCGUAGGUGAACCUGCGGAAGGAUCAUUAUCGUACAACAUGUGUGAGAGGUGUGCGAGGGCUGUCGCUGACUUUUCGUCGUGCACGCCGGAGCGCGUCCUCUUCACAUUAAAAUCCAUCUCACCCUUUUGUGCACCACCGCGUGGGCGCCCUUUGGGAUCGAAUCGAUCCAGGAGGGGGCUUGCGUUUUCACACAAACCCCUUUUAAAAAGUGUAGAAUGACCCCACUUUGCGAUGACACGCAAUCAAUACAACUUUCAACAACGGAUCUCUUGGCUCUCGCAUCGAUGAAGAACGCAGCGAAAUGCGAUACGUAAUGUGAAUUGCAGAAUUCAGUGAAUCAUCGAAUCUUUGAACGCACCUUGCGCCCCUUGGUAUUCCGAGGGGCACACCCGUUUGAGUGUCGUGAAAAUCUCAACCUUCUCGGUUGUCUUCUGGAUGCCGAAGGAGGCUUGGACUUUGGAGGCCUUUGCUGGCGUCUCUCUCUUUUCGAGAGCCAGCUCCUCUUAAAUGAAUUAGCGGGGUCCUCUUUGCCGAUCCUCGACAUGUGAUAAGAUGUUUCCAUGACUUGGUUUCUGGCUCUGUUGCCUUUGGGACCCGCUUCUAACCGUCUCGACGAGACAACGUUUGGGCGUGUCUCCCUUCUCGGGAAACACACUCAACCUCACGAACCCUUGACCUCAAAUCGGGUGAGACUACCCGCU